AUGGAUACUGCUGUCAUUCAGAAGGACUUGGGCCUUCCAGUUGGAGAAACAAUAUUCGGGAAAACAAUACUUAUCAUGGGGUUCGGAGCCAUUGGCAUGGAAAUUGCCAAGAGACUAAGACCAUUUGGAGUGAAAAUUCUUGCUACAAAAAGAAACUGGUCAUCAAAUACAGUGUCUUGUGAUCUUGAUGGGCUGGUUGACAAGAAAGGUGGUCCAGAAGAUAUGUACGAACUCGCUCGAGAAGCUGACAUAGUUAUAACUUGCAUGACGUUAAACAAUGAAUCAGUUAAUUCUUCUCUAUGUUCAUUUAUUUAA
This 315-nucleotide ribosomal RNA is filed under the name Triticum aestivum (bread wheat). RNAcentral's name for it is "partial small subunit ribosomal RNA". The record is from RNAcentral. Lineage: Eukaryota; Viridiplantae; Streptophyta; Magnoliopsida; Poales; Poaceae.